UCCCUGCUGCUCUCUGGUGACAUGGAAGU
Molecule: non-coding RNA, 29 nt
Filed under: Rattus norvegicus (Norway rat)
Lineage: Eukaryota; Metazoa; Chordata; Mammalia; Rodentia; Muridae
Source: RNAcentral